AAGAAUUUUAUAGUACACGAGCAGCAGUACUGACGAGCAGUGGUGAGUGUCAGGGGUAGUUGUCCGUAUACUUUUCUAACCUUGUUUCAAAAACUUGAAGUUUACGGUGUGUGGAGUUUGAGGUUUGUAAUACUCCAUGGCUCCGAAAGGCAAAAGCGGCAAGCAUUACACUGCGGUUGAUAAAAAAAUAUUUUUAGAAAUUUUGAAAAAAUAUAAAAAUAUUGUUGAGCAAAAAAAGAGUGACGGAGGAUCUCUCCGUGAGAAAGAGUCAGCAUGGAAUGAAAUUGCUGACAAAUUCAAUGGUGUACUACAAAUCAGUGAGACGAGAACAGUGCCACAACUUAAAAAGCUGUGGUCUAACAUGAAACAGAGCCAGCGGGAUACUUUGACCCAGGAAAAGCAAGCACGUAUGGCUACUGGGGGUGGUCCGGAGAUUCCAGAGGCACAGGUAGACCCUGACAUUGCAGCAAUUGUGCCGCAUUUAAUGACUCUUGCCCCGACCGAGUUCAGUUCCAAUAUUAUUCCGGGGGAGCAAGCAAUAGCCAUGGGUAGCGUUCUGGAGAAUGACGAUGAUUCACUUUUUGAAUUUCAAGAUGUCGAAUACUUGUUAGAUGCGUCAAUUGGUAGACCACCGACAGAGCCUAUUCCAAGCUGUUCAUCAGGAAUCCCGGUGCAGACUUGCAAAAAAAUGCGUGCGGCGGCAAAGCGAAGUCGGUCAGAAUCAUCGAGCCAUUUUUCAGCGUCAAAAUCUAUAGCUCAGAAGGCGAUGGAGGAAGCUGUGACUCAGAGACUAGACGCUCUCUCAGCUGAGGACAGAGAGCUCUUUCAGAUGAAGAAAGACCGUGAGCAAAGAAUGUCAAAAUUAAUGGAAGAUAACGAAAACGAAAUUCAUCUGCUGAAAGUUCAACACCUUUUACGAAUUCAAGAACUUGAAAUCAGGAAAGCCACAGCAGAAGCAGAGUUGGCUGAAUUCAAACUUGCGCGUGAAAGGGACAACCUUUGAUCUGGAAGGUCCAAAUCGAUCGUCAUUGGAUAUCCUUUUCCAGGUGUGGAUUCCUUUAUCAAGUUCAAAAGCAGGAUCUCACCCAGUAGUAGUAUCUGGGAAAAUGGUGCCACUUCAGUCUGUUCUUGAAUAUGAGUUUGCAGGGCAAUAAGCUUCUCCGCAGGAUGAAGGAACACUUUUAUCAAGCUCGCUUUAUGGACGUUAAAUAUAUGUAUAGGUUUUCUACAAAGCGUAGAAAACUUUUAUUAUAUUACCAAAUUAUCUAUCAUAUUAAUACAAAAUUGUUUUUUUGAAAAAACUAUAUUUCAAUAAUGUUUUCCAUAUUCCAGGUAGCGUUCUGUAGAAUGACGAUGAUUCACUUUUUGAAUUUCAAGAUGUCGAAUACUUGUUAGAUGCGUCAAUUGAUAGACCACCGACAGAGCCUACUCCAAGCUGUUCAUCAGGAAUCCCGGUGCAGACUUGCAAAAAAAUGCACGUGAAAGGGACAACCUUUGAUCUUCAAAGUU
RNAcentral lists this unclassified non-coding RNA (1509 nucleotides) under Neodiprion pinetum (white pine sawfly). RNAcentral describes it as "uncharacterized LOC124214986, transcript variant X3". Lineage: Eukaryota; Metazoa; Arthropoda; Insecta; Hymenoptera; Diprionidae. The record is from RNAcentral.